Molecule: ribosomal RNA, 331 nt
Filed under: uncultured bacterium
Lineage: Bacteria
Description: bacterial SSU rRNA
Rfam family: Bacterial small subunit ribosomal RNA
Source: RNAcentral
CGCGUAGGCGGCUUGCCGAGUCAGGGGUGAAAUCUUUCGGCUCAACCGGAAACGUGCCCCUGAUACUGGCGGGCUGGAGGAGGGUAGGGGCGGAUGGAACUUCCGGUGGAGCGGUGAAAUGCGUAGAUAUCGGAAGGAACGCCGGUGGCGAAAGCGAUCCGCUGGACCCUUUCUGACGCUGAGGCGCGAAAGCCAGGGGAGCAAACGGGAUUAGAUACCCCGGUAGUCCUGGCCCUAAACGAUGGGUACUAGGUUGUGGACUUGACAUGGGUUCACAGCCGAAGCAAAAGUGUUAAGUACCCCGCCUGGGGAGUAUGGUCGCAAGGCUGAA